AAUAGGGCCUCCCUCUGCUCAUGAAAACCAGCCCACCUGACCCUGCAGCUCUGCACAGGAGCCCAGCCCUGGACUCCCAGCUCAGCCCCCUCAGUGAUCAGGACUGAACACAGCUGCUCACCAUGGAGAGUGUGCUCAGCUGGGUUUUCCUGGUGGCUGUUUUCAAAGGUGUCCAGUGUGAGGUGCAGCUGGUGGAGUCUGGGGGAGGCCUGGUGCAGCCUGGGGGUUCCCUGCGACUCUCCUGUGCAGUCUCUGGAUUCACCUUCAGUAGCUACUACAUGACCUGGGUCCGCCAGGCUCCAGGGAAGGGGCUGGAGUGGAUCUCAUCCAUUAGUACAGGUGGCAGUAGUACUUAUUAUGCUGAUUCUGUGAGGGGCCGAUUCACCAUCUCCAGGGACAACUCCAAGAACAUGCUGUACCUGCAAAUGAGCAGUCUGAGAACUGAGGACACAGCCACCUAUUAAUGUGC
This is a non-coding RNA of Ictidomys tridecemlineatus (thirteen-lined ground squirrel), 469 nucleotides long. The record is from the annotation of a RefSeq genome assembly. NCBI's taxonomy places the organism in Eukaryota, Metazoa, Chordata, Mammalia, Rodentia, Sciuridae.